This is a long non-coding RNA of Vanessa atalanta (red admiral), 1313 nucleotides long. RefSeq lists it as uncharacterized. Lineage: Eukaryota; Metazoa; Arthropoda; Insecta; Lepidoptera; Nymphalidae. The transcript has 6 exons. The record is from RefSeq and is a predicted model, not a curated record.
AUAUGGGCUUCGGUGAUUCGGCGCAGUGUUCAUCGAACAGGCCCUGUGAUCUGAUGGUGUAUUGUGGAUCUUGUUCUAAGAAUCAAAAAAUCUGGGUUUAUUUGAUUAAAAGGGCAGCUUGUGAAAAAAAUUGCACUCCUUCAACUCCAAAACUAUGUCGACUUCAUCAAUGCUUCCUUUGCAAAAAUGUUGCUUCUGUAUAUCGCUGAGAAAAGGAUGUUUUAUUAUGGCAUAUAUGAAACUGAUUGGGAUCAUUAUCGUCACCAUAACAUCUGGGGUUAAUAUAGGUACUGAAAUCACUAAAUUAAAUCAAAAAUAUCAAUAUAUAAGUUUUUUGUGGAUUGCAGUCAUCUCUAUAUUUUUCUUCGCCGUAUUUUUGACCCUUUUAUUCAAUAUAAUUCUUCUCGUUGGAUUACAUAAGAAUAAACCUGGUUACGUAAAAGCUUAUAUUAUUUAUUAUACAAUACUUAUUUUUAUUUUCGUGGGUAUUGUAGUCAGGUCAAUUAACAAAGCAAAUACUGAAUUGUCAGAUAUUUUUUUAAGAAUUAUACAAUUAUUUGUAUCCAUCUAUUUCAUCCUCGUCUACUCAAGUUACUACAUCAGUAUGAAAAAGACGUCUGAACAAACCGUUUAAUGCAUGAAAUAUUUUCAUAAUAUCACUGGAACAAGGUUUUACUCGGCUUCUAGUAGGACAGGCAGAAAUGAACUGGCAGAAAUUGUAACGUAAGGAAAAAGCUUUAUGCCCCCUCCAGGUGACCUUUCCUCUUUCUCUAUUUCUUUUAUAUAAAAUUAUUUAAUAUUAUUUUUUGGUAUUGUUUUAAUUCAUAUGAUUUUUUUAAGAAUAAUUUGAUUUCUUGUCUUUAAAUUAUUCUCAACCAAGUGUCCCUCUUCCUUUUAGUAAAUUCCAAUGGCAGGAGAAGUAAUUUAAACGAAUCUUAAAUUUAUAUAUUACAUGUGAUUUGCUAAUAGAUCCGCUAUAUUAUGCAUUACAAAAAUAUUGUGAUGAAUAUACAUAUUAUACUAUUAUACUGAAAUACUUAUAUCCACGGACAUUCAAAACCCCCCUUUUCACAAAUCUAUUUUGACUACUUUAUGUAUCUCGAGCAGUGAUGUCACAUCAAUUCAAGGUCAAUUUUUUUAUUUAUCUUUACCCGUCCUUCCAUUGAAAUCGACUGUAUGUACUAGGGAUAUAAUUAAAUUCUUAUUACAAUAACUAGCUAUGUAAUAUUAUUUAUGAUUAUGCAAUUAUGUAUCAUUUUCCUUAUACGUUACAUAUUAUUACAUAUUAUUUAGUUAUUUAUUUUAAAGCUAAC